AUUGAACGCUGGCGGCAGGCCUAACACAUGCAAGUCGAACGGUAACAGAAAGCAGCUUGCUGCUUUGCUGACGAGUGGCGGACGGGUGAGUAAUGUCUGGGAAACUGCCUGAUGGAGGGGGAUAACUACUGGAAACGGUAGCUAAUACCGCAUAACGUCGCAAGACCAAAGAGGGGGACCUUCGGGCCUCUUGCCAUCGGAUGUGCCCAGAUGGGAUUAGCUAGUAGGUGGGGUAAAGGCUCACCUAGGCGACGAUCCCUAGCUGGUCUGAGAGGAUGACCAGCCACACUGGAACUGAGACACGGUCCAGACUCCUACGGGAGGCAGCAGUGGGGAAUAGUGCACAAUGGGCGCAAGCCUGAUGCAGCCAUGCCGCGUGUAUGAAGAAGGCCUUCGGGUUGUAAAGUACUUUCAGCGGGGAGGAAGGGAGUAAAGUUAAUACCUUUGCUCAUUGACGUUAACCGCAGUAGAAGCACCGGCUAACUCCGUG
Molecule: ribosomal RNA, 490 nt
Filed under: uncultured bacterium
Lineage: Bacteria
Description: partial 16S ribosomal RNA
Rfam family: Bacterial small subunit ribosomal RNA
Source: RNAcentral